This 772-nucleotide long non-coding RNA is filed under the name Gouania willdenowi (blunt-snouted clingfish). RNAcentral's name for it is "lncRNA (ENSGWIG00000001057.1)". Lineage: Eukaryota; Metazoa; Chordata; Actinopteri; Blenniiformes; Gobiesocidae. The record is from RNAcentral.
ACUAAGUUAAAGGUAGACAGCCACAGUGCAGCACAGGCUAACAGUGACAGUCCCAUUUAACAUUAAAGCAGGUGAGAAGGUGGAGAAGGUGGAGCAGUACACACACACACACACACACACACACACACACACAGUGUCAGGUAAACAAGCAGACGGCUGCGGCACGGCUCAGACAACAAUCUAUUAAAGGGCCUUUAUCCUCUGCUCUACACACACACACACACACACACACACACACACACACAGAGAGGAAACAAGAGGGUUGUCCAACCAACUCAGCUUCAAGUGAAACACUGUCAGCACUCAGGUGGAAGAAGAAAUUUACACUUCUGUCAGAAAAAAUGGAGCAACGCAAAAUCUUUGUAGUCCUGAUGUCUACAGUUCUUCCGUCCAUCUAUGUGCCAUUUUUAUUUACUGCACACGCUCAUUCCAACACACGUGCAAUUGUGUUCAUGUUUCCUUGUCCCCAUGACGUUUGCGUUUGAACGUCACGUCCUGUUUUUGGUCCCACUUUGUAUAUUUGGUGGAGGUUUGCUUUCUUACAACAGUGUUUCUCAAAUGGGGGUAUGUGAUGGCACUACAGGGGUACUUUAGAGAGAGAGAGAAAAAUUUAUAAAUUGAAAAAUUAAAAAUAUGCAGUUUUUUAUUAUGUUUAUUUUUAGUUAAAAAUGAUAAUCACACCGAAUGUGACCAGCAACUUACAAAACGACAACAAAAACACACAAAAUAGGAGAAAAAUAUACUGAAUAAUAAAAACAAUAGACAAACAACA